GCUUGUCUCAAAGAUUAAGCCAUGCAUGUCUAAGUAUAAGUAUUAUACAGCGAAACUGCGAAUGGCUCAUUAAAACAGUUAUAGUUUACAUGAUAAUCGAAUUUACAUGGAUAACCGUGGUAAUUCUAGAGCUAAUACAUGCUGGCGUGCCCGACUUUUGUGGAAGGGCGGUAUUUAUUAGAUAACAAGCCAAUAUUCCUCACGGUCUAUUGUGGUGACUCAUAAUAACUGAUCGAAUCUCAAAUUUGAGAUAAAUCAUUCAAGUUUCUGCCCUAUCAGCUUUCGAUGGUAGUGUAUUGGACUACCAUGGCAGUAACGGGUAACGAAGAAUUAGGGUUCGAUUUCGGAGAGGGAGCAUGAGAAACGGCUACCACAUCCAAGGAAGGCAGCAGG
Molecule: ribosomal RNA, 393 nt
Filed under: uncultured Strombidiidae
Lineage: Eukaryota; Ciliophora; Spirotrichea; Strombidiidae
Description: partial small subunit ribosomal RNA
Rfam family: Eukaryotic small subunit ribosomal RNA
Source: RNAcentral